This 462-nucleotide ribosomal RNA is filed under the name uncultured bacterium. RNAcentral's name for it is "partial 16S ribosomal RNA". It matches the Rfam family "Bacterial small subunit ribosomal RNA", at positions 29 to 507 of the family's 1533-position model. The record is from RNAcentral.
AACAAACGCUGGCGGCGUGCCUAAUACAUGCAAGUCGAACGGGGAAAGUAGCAAUAUGAGUACUAGUGGCGCCCGGGUGAGUAACGCGUGGAUAAUCUGCCUUGAAGAGGGGGAUAACUAGUCGAAAGAUUAGCUAAUACCGCAUAAGACCACAAGAACUGAGGUUCAAGGGGUCAAAGGUUUUUCGCUUCAAGAUGAGUCCGCGUAAGAUUAGCUAGUUGGUGAGGUAAUGGCUCACCAAGGCAACGAUCUUUAACUGGUCUGAGAGGAUGAUCAGUCACACUGGAACUGAGACACGGUCGAGACUACUACGGGAGGCAGCAGUAGGGAAUAUUGCACAAUGGAGGAAACUGUGAUGCAGCGACGCCGCGUGAGUGAUGAAGGCAUUCGGGUCGUAAAGCUCUGUCGCAGGGGAAUAACACAAUGAAGGUACCCUGUAAGAAAGGAUCGGCUAACUUCGUG